UCAUUUAACCCUCAGUCUCAGUUUGUCCACCUAUGAAAUGGAAAUAACAGUUUCUGCCUUGAAGAUGAUGUGAGGAAUUAAUGAGAUGCUGCCUGGAAGGAGUCUAGCACAUUACCUGGCAUGGGGACUGAAUUAUGCAGGAUAAGGAGGCUGCAAAAAUACUAUGGCAUUUUACAGAUGAGGAUACUGAAGCUUAAAGAGGUGUAACAAUUGCUGAUAUGAGGAUGAAUCAUAAUAUUACUUGUCGGGAAUCUAACUGAGUGAAGUAUGCCCAAGGAAUGUGAUGAUUAGCAUGGGGGAGGGGUGUUACUAUGUGAAAAACAUAUUCUCUCUCUUUUUUAUCAGCAUUGCUGGAAAAGUUGCUAGUUGGUUCACGGAGCUUUUACUUAAAAAUAAACAGCCGCCCAAGUUACGGGUUUUCACAGGAACAUAGUAAUAAUUCAUUAGACUUUAACAAUUUAAUCAAGAAGUCAGUGAUGGUGGGGGGCGUCUCUGUGUGAGGCAUAGGAAAAAUCUCUCUUAGGUUUGGUGCAAUUUUCUUGCUUUUAAUCUGGUGUUCAGGGUCUUUCCAAUCAUCUUUGCUUCACAGUUGGGAAUUUUUCCUUGGUGUUCUCAUAGAUUGUAGAAGCAAUGAUAAAACAGCUGUUGCCAGGCUGGGUGAGAAUCUAUCAUUUACCUCGCUACAAUAGGAGAAUGAGGUACAGACGUUGUUUAAUAAAGAAUUUAAUAGACGAGGUCAGCCUGUCCAGCCUGGAUGAACAUAGGCUGUAAUUGCUCAAUGGGGGACACAUGUUGUACCCCAAAGAGGAUUCUCUGACAUCUCUGGCUUUUCUGCCCAAGCCCUCUGAGAGGUGAGAAUAUAAUUGUGUCUGUGAGUAUAUACUGUUAUAUGUGUAUGGGUAAACACGGAGAGUGGCAGGUGGCAGAUUUGAAGGGUACGAAAUGUUUUAUUAACUUUUCCUUUGUCUUCCAAAUUUAAACAGUAUAGCGUAAGAAUAGUCCUGAGAGUUCAGUCUUUGACUUUUCCUGAACAAUUCAAUACUCACCUGCUGAUCCUCCUGCCAAUCAACAACUUAGAAGCAAAUGGAAAAAAUGUGAGGAUGAAUCAAACACCUUAUCCAUUAUAGAGUUUUCAUGACUGAGAACAAGAGAAAGUUCACUGAAGUGAUCUCUCUGGAGAGCAUCCAAAGACUUCUGCAGACAAUAAACUGAUCUGCGGAGGCCUGAUUCUACUCUUGGCCAGGCAUGUGAUGAAGGCUCCCUAGCCAUCCAAGUGUGGGGCUUGAUCCUUUCCAGUGAUUAGGCACUUGUUGCCCUUUGGUGGCCAAACAAAUAACAGUUAGUGUAAUAAGAGCUCUAACAGAAAGACUCUCAGAGGAUAGGAAAGUUUCAUUUUUGUAAAGUACUGUCACUUUUGUUUAUCUUUUCAAUGUAAAUUUAAUAUAUGCUUAGUAACAAAACAAGAAAACAUUGAAAAAAACUUAAAUAAAGUAUAAUUGAAUUGUAGUCCCAUUAUCCAAUGGUAAUUAUUAACAUACUGGCAAAUGUUUUUCCACAUUGUUUCUUAUGCAUGUGUAAACCACCUCCCACACAUAUACUUUAAUUUUUAAAUGAAAUCAUCAUAGUCAUAUUGUUUGAUAAUCUGUUACUUUCAAACAUUUAAUUUGUUCCCACUAUUUUUCUAUUUUAACAAACUCUAUGAUGAAUACCUAUACAAUCUUCUUUUUUUUACACAUUUGACAAAUUAUGUUAAGAAAUAGAAUUUCUAAGAAAAAAAUUGCUAUAGCCAAUGUGACCUGAAGAUAUGAAACCAAUUUAUAUUCCUGACAAUAGCACAUGAAAAUGGCUAUGUUGCUCUAAACCCUUGUCAGCAUUAAGUUUUGUGUUUUUUAAAAAAAAUCUGUAUGAAUUUGUUAUUAAAAAUAUUAUA
Molecule: long non-coding RNA, 1930 nt
Organism: Manis javanica (Malayan pangolin)
Lineage: Eukaryota; Metazoa; Chordata; Mammalia; Pholidota; Manidae
Source: RefSeq, a predicted model, not a curated record